Megalops atlanticus (tarpon) is the source of this 79-nucleotide non-coding RNA. The record is from the annotation of a GenBank genome assembly. NCBI's taxonomy places the organism in Eukaryota, Metazoa, Chordata, Actinopteri, Elopiformes, Megalopidae.
GGCAGUGUAGCAUAGUGGUUAAGGCUCAAGGCUUGUAACCAAAAGGUUGCUGGUUUAAUUCCCUGCUGGGGCACUGCUG